Molecule: ribosomal RNA, 495 nt
Filed under: uncultured bacterium
Lineage: Bacteria
Description: partial 16S ribosomal RNA
Rfam family: Bacterial small subunit ribosomal RNA
Source: RNAcentral
GACGAACGCUGGCGGCGUGCCUAAUACAUGCAAGUAGAACGCUGAAGGAGGAGCUUGCUUCUCUGGAUGAGUUGCGAACGGGUGAGUAACGCGUAGGUAACCUGCCUGGUAGCGGGGGAUAACUAUUGGAAACGAUAGCUAAUACCGCAUAAUAGUAGAUGUUGCAUGACAUUUGCUUAAAAGGUGCAAUUGCAUCACUACCAGAUGGACCUGCGUUGUAUUAGCUAGUUGGUGGGGUAACGGCUCACCAAGGCGACGAUACAUAGCCGACCUGAGAGGGUGAUCGGCCACACUGGGACUGAGACACGGCCCAGACUCCUACGGGAGGCAGCAGUAGGGGAUCUUCGGCAAUGGACGGAAGUCUGACCGAGCAACGCCGCGUGAGUGAAGAAGGUUUUCGGAUCGUAAAGCUCUGUUGUAAGAGAAGAACGAGUGUGAGAGUGGAAAGUUCACACUGUGACGGUAUCUUACCAGAAAGGGACGGCUAACUACGUG